CUUUGAUACUUGUAUUAUUCCUCUAACAUUUUCUUGUCUCCUUUGAAAUAGAAAGAAGACAGCUGCCUGAAAAGCAUGAAACCUGAUAAUUGGUCGAUGCAUUCAUCUUCAGAAGAAAAAGCUGAUGACUUUUCAGAAAGAACAAUCGCUUCAUCACUUGCAUCUGAAGAGAAUGAAGGUAACUUUGAAGGCAGCGUUUCACCAGCAGAUGAAACAAUACAAGCAAGUACCAGUGGAAGUAAAUA
RNAcentral lists this long non-coding RNA (245 nucleotides) under Camelus dromedarius (Arabian camel). Its description in RNAcentral is "lncRNA (ENSCDRG00005019697.1)". Lineage: Eukaryota; Metazoa; Chordata; Mammalia; Artiodactyla; Camelidae. The record is from RNAcentral.